This 2902-nucleotide ribosomal RNA is filed under the name Peptacetobacter hiranonis. Its description in RNAcentral is "23S ribosomal RNA". It matches the Rfam family "Bacterial large subunit ribosomal RNA". The record is from RNAcentral. Lineage: Bacteria; Bacillati; Bacillota; Clostridia; Peptostreptococcales; Peptostreptococcaceae.
GGUCAAGUUAUUAAGGGUGCAGGGCGGAUGCCUUGGCACCGGGAGCCGAUGAAGGACGUGAUAAGCUGCGAUAAGCUAUGGGGAGUUGCACGUAAACUUUGAUCCAUAGAUUUCCGAAUGAGGAAACUCACCAUGAGUAAUGUCAUGGUAUCUUCGAGUGAAUACAUAGCUCGUUGAGGGGAACUCGGGGAACUGAAACAUCUAAGUACCCGAAGGAAGAGAAAGAAAUUCGAUUCCGCUAGUAGCGGCGAGCGAACGCGGAACAGCCCAAACCUAAGAAGUUCGCUUCUUAGGGGUUGCGGACAUAUCAUCAGGAAGAGGUUAUUACAGACGAAGAGUUUUGGAAAGCUCCGCCACAGAAGGUAACAGCCCUGUAGUCGAAGUGAGAAGACUUCCGAUAUGAUCCAGAGUACCACGGGACACGUGAAACCCCGUGGGAAGCAGGAGGGACCACCCUCCAAGGCUAAAUACUACCCGGUGACCGAUAGCGCAUAGUACCGUGAGGGAAAGGUGAAAAGAACCCCGGGAGGGGAGUGAAAUAGAACCUGAAACCCUGUACUUACAAACUGUGGAAGCACAUUUCUUGUGUGACCGCGUACUUUUUGUAGAACGGGCCAACGAGUUACGUUAUGCAGCAAGGUUAAGUACUUCAAGUAUGCAGCCGCAGCGAAAGCGAGUUUUAACUGAGCGUUUAGUUGCAUGACGUAGACCCGAAACCGGGUGACCUAUCCAUGAGCAGGUUGAAGCGAAAGUAAAAUUUCGUGGAGGACCGAACCCACGAGCGUUGAAAAGCUCGGGGAUGACUUGUGGAUAGCGGUGAAAUUCCAAUCGAACCCGGAGAUAGCUGGUUCUCCCCGAAAUAGCUUUAGGGCUAGCCUCAGAUUCAGAGAUACGGAGGUAGAGCACUGAAUGUCCUAGGGGGUAUUGCACCUACCGAAGACUAUCAAACUCCGAAUGCCGUCAUCUUUUAUCUGGGAGUCAGACCGUGGGUGAUAAGAUUCACGGUCGAGAGGGCAACAGCCCAGACCGUCGGCUAAGGUCCCCAAAUGUAGGUUAAGUGGUAAAGGAUGUGGGAUUGCACAGACAACCAGGAUGUUGGCUUAGAAGCAGCCACUCAUUCAAAGAGUGCGUAAUAGCUCACUGGUCGAGUGAUCCUGCGCCGAAGAUUUCCGGGGCUAAAACCUACUACCGAAGCCACGGCAUCAUUUAUGAUGGGUAGGGGAGCUUUCUUUACUGGGCAGAAGCAUGACCGUAAGGACAUGUGGACUGUAAAGAAGUGAGAAUGUUGGCAUGAGUAGCGAGAUGUGGGUGAGAAUCCCACAGGCCGUAAACCCAAGGUUUCCAGGGGAAGGUUCGUCCUCCCUGGGUUAGUCGGGACCUAAGCCGAGGCCGAAAGGCGUAGGUGAUGGACAACAGGUUGAAAUUCCUGUACCGCCAAUAAGCGUUUGAGAAAUGGGAUGACACAGUAGGACAGGAUGAGCGUGCUGUUGGUUAUGCACGUCCAAGCACUGAGGCAGUAUCCGGAGGCAAAUCCACGGAUAUAAUGCUGGGGUGUGACGGGGAGCGAAAUUUAGUAGCGAAGCAUCUGCAUUCACACUGUCGAGAAAAGUCUCUAUCGAGUUUAAAGGCGCCCGUACCGCAAACCGACACAGGUGGGUGAGGAGAGUAUCCUAAGGCCAGCGAGAGAACUGUUGUUAAGGAACUCGGCAAAAUGACCCCGUAACUUAGGGAUAAGGGGUGCCAUCGAAAGAUGGCCGCAGAGAAUAGGCCCAAGCGACUGUUUACCAAAAACAUAGGUUUCUGCUAAGUCGCAAGACGAUGUAUAGGAGCUGACGCCUGCCCGGUGCUGGAAGGUUAAGGGGAUCUGUUAGAGCAAUCGAAGCAGUGAACUUAAGCCCCAGUAAACGGCGGCCGUAACUAUAACGGUCCUAAGGUAGCGAAAUUCCUUGUCGGGUAAGUUCCGACCCGCACGAAAGGCGUAACGAUUUGGGCACUGUCUCAACAACAGACUCGGUGAAAUUGUAAUUCCGGUGAAGAUGCCGGAUACCUGCGACAGGACGGAAAGACCCCAUGGAGCUUUACUGUAGCUUGGCAUUGGGUCUUGGUACUACAUGUACAGCAUAGGUGGGAGGCUUUGAUUCCAGGACGCCAGUUUUGGAUGAGCCACCGUUGGGAUACCACCCCUGUAGUACUGGGACUCUAACCAGAGGCCUUGAAUCAGGUCUUGGGACACUGUCAGGCGGGCAGUUUGACUGGGGCGGUCGCCUCCCAAAAGGUAACGGAGGCGCUCAAAGGUUCUCUCAGCACGGUCGGAAAUCGUGCAUAGAGUGUAAAGGCAUAAGAGAGCUUGAUUGCAAGACAUACAGGUCGAGCAAGGACGAAAGUCGGACUUAGUGAUCCGGUGGUUCUGAGUGGAAGGGCCAUCGCUCAACGGAUAAAAGCUACCCUGGGGAUAACAGGCUUAUCUCCCCCAAGAGUCCACAUCGACGGGGAGGUUUGGCACCUCGAUGUCGGCUCAUCACAUCCUGGGGCUGUAGUAGGUCCCAAGGGUUGGGCUGUUCGCCCAUUAAAGUGGUACGCGAGCUGGGUUCAGAACGUCGUGAGACAGUUCGGUCCCUAUCCGUCGCAGGCGUAGGAAAUUUGAGAGGAUCUGCCCUUAGUACGAGAGGACCGGGGUGGACGUACCGCUGGUGUACCAGUUGUCUCGCCAGAGGCAUGGCUGGGUAGCUAUGUACGGAACGGAUAAGCGCUGAAAGCAUCUAAGCGCGAAGCCAGCCUUAAGAUAAGAUUUCCCAUUCUUCGGAAGUAAGACCCCAUGAAGACUACGUGGUUGAUAGGUCGGAGGUGGAAGUGCAGUAAUGUAUGCAGCUUACCGAUACUAAUAGGUCGAGGGCUUGACCAA